This 758-nucleotide ribosomal RNA is filed under the name uncultured bacterium. RNAcentral's name for it is "bacterial SSU rRNA". It matches the Rfam family "Bacterial small subunit ribosomal RNA", at positions 9 to 745 of the family's 1533-position model. The record is from RNAcentral.
GAGUUUGAUCCUGGCUCAGAACGAACGCUGGCGGCGUGCCUAACACAUGCAAGUCCAACGUGAAAGGGGAGCAAUCCCCCGGUAGGGUGGCAAACGGGUGAGUAAUACAUGGGUGAUCUACCUUAGGGAUGGGGAUAUCCUUCCGAGAGGAGGGGCAAUACCGAAUAUUGUCCGGAGCCGUGAAGGGUUCCGGGGAAAGGGAGGCCUCUGAUACAAGCUUUCGCCUUAAGAUGAGCCCAUGGCCCAUCAGCUAGUUGGUAGGGUAAAGGCCUACCAAGGCUACGACGGGUCGCUGGUCUGAGAGGACGACCAGCCACACUGGCACUGAGAUACGGGCCAGACUCCUACGGGAGGCAGCAGUGAGGAAUAUUGCGCAAUGGGGGAAACCCUGACGCAGCAACGCCGCGUGUGGGAAGAAGGCCUUCGGGUCGUAAACCACUUUUGCACGGGACGAAAAAGGGAUAUCGAACAAAUAUCCCCGAUGACGGUACCGUGAGAAUAAGCCACGGCUAACUCUGUGCCAGCAGCCGCGGUAAGACAGAGGUGGCAAGCGUUGUUCGGAAUUACUGGGCGUAAAGAGUCUGUAGGUGGUUUGUCAAGUCUUUGGUGAAAGGCCGUAGCUUAACUAUGGGAAUGCCAAAGAGACUGGCAGGCUGGAGGCUGGGAGAGGGAAGCGGAAUUUCUGGUGUAGCGGUGAAAUGCGUAGAUAUCAGAAGGAAGGCCGGUGGCGAAGGCGGCUUCCUGGAACAGUCCUGACA